CCUCACCAUGGGGUGCAGCCUCACCCUGAGGUGCAGCCUCACCCUGAGGUGCAACCUCACCAUGGGGUGCAACCUCACCAUGGGGUGCAGCCUCACCCUGAGGUGCAACCUCAUCACGGCACAGCCUUGCUGCGGCACAACCUCAUCACAGCUAGCAGCUCGCCCCAGGAACAACCUUGCUGUGGGUGCAGUCUUGCCGUGGGUGCAACCUCACCAUGGGCGAGACCUUGCCAGAGGGUGCAACUUUGCUGCGGGCGCAACCUCACUGUGGGGUGCAACCUCGCCAUGGGUACAACUUCACCGUGGGGUGCAACCCACUGAGGGCAUAACCUCACCGUGGUGGGACCUUGCCCUGAGUGCAACCUCACUGUGGGUGCAGCCUCACCAUAGGUACAACCUCGCCGUGGGUGCAACCUCAGAUGGAUGCAACCUCGCCAUGGGUGCAAUCUCGCUCUGGGUGCAACCUCGGGUGGGUGCAACCUCCCCAUGGGUGCAACCUCCCCACAGCAGCACUGGGCCACCAAGCGAGCAGGCAGAGAACCUGAGCAAGGUUGUGCUCCCACAGGGGCUUGCUGUGGGGACCGUAAUGUGGAGCGGCCCUGGUUUCGUGGGCAGCCAUGGGGUCCCAGCCGGCACCCGCGCCCUGCCAGCGGGGAUGCGUGGCGCCGAGGCACCCGCUUUGCCCGCAGGACCCGGCCCCUGGAGACACCAGCUCCCAGGAGAUGCUCGGUGGUGGGGCAGCCCGGUCCCUGYGGUGGCGGUGGAGUCGCCGAGCCGGCGCAUGGCCUCUCUUUUCCUGUUUUCUGUCUUGUUUUGGUUCGUUUUUUUCGGUUGUUUGGCUGGAUUUUAAACCACACGCAUGUAUACGCUCCGCUUGGACAGGGGGGGAACUCGAGGGAAGACUCUCCGCUCGCGGACGAGGGCGACUUUCACCCUGCUCAAACCCGUCCUUGCUCCGUUUUUCCGGGCUUCCUUGGCGAAAGGAGCCCGGGAGGAAGCCAGCCCCGGCGCAACUCGACGCACGUGCGGCCGCCGCACAGCCGGGGCCGGAGCGAGCCGGCAAUUAAAGGCUCCUCGCGGAUUAGCCCUGCGUGCAUCGGCCGYGGAGACCGGGUAAAACGCGCCCGCCUGCCCGCGGGAAAGGAGGCCGUCCCGGGAGGACAGAGGGGUUGUUUGCUUUUCUUUUCUUUUUUUUCUUUUUUUUUUCCUCUUUUUUUUUUCCCCCCGGAGUUUCUUUCGCCUCCUCGCUUUCCAAGUCCGGCAAGCAGGGCCGACGGGCUCCGCCGGGCUCCCCAGGCCUCCCGGCGGCAUUUGGCGUCCGCUUCGGUCCUAAACCUCUGCCAAACUUCCAAAGAAAAAGGCAAGGGAAAAGGGCGGCUGCGAAAAUCCGCCCGGCAGNNNNNNNNNNNNNNNNNNNNNNNNNNNNNNNNNNNNNNNNNNNNNNNNNNNNNNNNNNNNNNNNNNNN
This 1466-nucleotide long non-coding RNA is filed under the name Apteryx haastii (Great spotted kiwi). RNAcentral describes it as "lncRNA (ENSAHAG00000018713.1)". Lineage: Eukaryota; Metazoa; Chordata; Aves; Apterygiformes; Apterygidae. The record is from RNAcentral.